AACGCACAUUGCGCCCGCCAGAACUCUGGCGGGCAUGCCUGUCCGAGCGUCAUUUCAACCCUCGCGCCCCCCGGCCCUUGCGGUCUCGGGGCGCGGUGUUGGGGACCGGCCGGCGGCCCUCCGGGGCCCGCGAGCCGCCCCCGAAUGACAGUGGCGGUCGCGCCGCGGCUCCCCAUGCGUAGUAGAAUACACCUCGCAACGGGACCGGGUGCGCCCACGCCGUAAAACCCCCGACGCAAGACCUCUAAGGUUGACCUCGGAUCAGGUAGGAGUACCCGCUGAACUUAA
RNAcentral lists this unclassified non-coding RNA (288 nucleotides) under uncultured fungus. Its description in RNAcentral is "partial contains 5.8S ribosomal RNA, internal transcribed spacer 2, and large subunit ribosomal RNA". The record is from RNAcentral. Lineage: Eukaryota; Fungi.